UACGUAGGGCGCAAGCGUUAUCCGGAAUUAUUGGGCGUAAAGAGCUCGUAGGCGGUUUGUCGCGUCUGCCGUGAAAGUCCGGGGCUCAACUCCGGAUCUGCGGUGGGUACGGGCAGACUAGAGUGAUGUAGGGGAGACUGGAAUUCCUGGUGUAGCGGUGAAAUGCGCAGAUAUCAGGAGGAACACCGAGUGGCGAAGGCAGGUCUCUGGGCAUUAACUGACGCUGAGGAGCGAAAGCAUGGGGAGCGAACAGG
Molecule: ribosomal RNA, 254 nt
Filed under: uncultured bacterium
Lineage: Bacteria
Description: partial 16S ribosomal RNA
Rfam family: Bacterial small subunit ribosomal RNA
Source: RNAcentral